This 2200-nucleotide ribosomal RNA is filed under the name Salmonella enterica. Its description in RNAcentral is "partial 23S ribosomal RNA". It matches the Rfam family "Bacterial large subunit ribosomal RNA", at positions 711 to 2807 of the family's 2925-position model. Lineage: Bacteria; Pseudomonadati; Pseudomonadota; Gammaproteobacteria; Enterobacterales; Enterobacteriaceae. The record is from RNAcentral. RNAcentral also lists the same sequence under 1 other name.
AGACCCGAAACCCGGUGAUCUAGCCAUGGGCAGGUUGAAGGUUGGGUAACACUAACUGGAGGACCGAACCGACUAAUGUUGAAAAAUUAGCGGAUGACCUGUGGCUGGGGGUGAAAGGCCAAUCAAACCGGGAGAUAGCUGGUUCUCCCCGAAAGCUAUUUAGGUAGCGCCUCGUGAAUUCAUCUCCGGGGGUAGAGCACUGUUUCGGCUAGGGGGCCAUCCCGGCUUACCAACCCGAUGCAAACUGCGAAUACCGGAGAAUGUUAUCACGGGAGACACACGGCGGGUGCUAACGUCCGUCGUGAAGAGGGAAACAACCCAGACCGCCAGCUAAGGUCCCAAAGUCAUGGUUAAGUGGGAAACGAUGUGGGAAGGCCCAGACAGCCAGGAUGUUGGCUUAGAAGCAGCCAUCAUUUAAAGAAAGCGUAAUAGCUCACUGGUCGAGUCGGCCUGCGCGGAAGAUGUAACGGGGCUAAACCAUGCACCGAAGCUGCGGCAGCGAACGUAUCACCCAAGACAACUUUACGGAGUUGACGAUUGACGGAGCGAAGCGACGUCAAAGCGUUCAUUAAAGUCGAGUUGGCUUAGGGAUACGUUCGUUGGGUAGGGGAGCGUUCUGUAAGCCUGUGAAGGUGUGUCGUGAGGCAUGCUGGAGGUAUCAGAAGUGCGAAUGCUGACAUAAGUAACGAUAAAGCGGGUGAAAAGCCCGCUCGCCGGAAGACCAAGGGUUCCUGUCCAACGUUAAUCGGGGCAGGGUGAGUCGACCCCUAAGGCGAGGCCGAAAGGCGUAGUCGAUGGGAAACGGGUUAAUAUUCCCGUACUUGGUGUUACUGCGAAGGGGGGACGGAGAAGGCUAUGUUGGCCGGGCGACGGUUGUCCCGGUUUAAGCGUGUAGGUGUGUGUUCCAGGUAAAUCCGGUUCACUUUAACACUGAGGCGUGACGACGAGGCACUACGGUGCUGAAGCAACAAAUGCCCUGCUUCCAGGAAAAGCCUCUAAGCAUCAGGUAACACGAAAUCGUACCCCAAACCGACACAGGUGGUCAGGUAGAGAAUACCAAGGCGCUUGAGAGAACUCGGGUGAAGGAACUAGGCAAAAUGGUGCCGUAACUUCGGGAGAAGGCACGCUGACACGUAGGUGAAGUGAUUUACUCAUGGAGCUGAAGUCAGUCGAAGAUACCAGCUGGCUGCAACUGUUUAUUAAAAACACAGCACUGUGCAAACACGAAAGUGGACGUAUACGGUGUGACGCCUGCCCGGUGCCGGAAGGUUAAUUGAUGGGGUCAGCGCAAGCGAAGCUCCUGAUCGAAGCCCCGGUAAACGGCGGCCGUAACUAUAACGGUCCUAAGGUAGCGAAAUUCCUUGUCGGGUAAGUUCCGACCUGCACGAAUGGCGUAAUGAUGGCCAGGCUGUCUCCACCCGAGACUCAGUGAAAUUGAACUCGCUGUGAAGAUGCAGUGUACCCGCGGCAAGACGGAAAGACCCCGUGAACCUUUACUAUAGCUUGACACUGAACAUUGAGCCUUGAUGUGUAGGAUAGGUGGGAGGCUUUGAAGUGUGGACGCCAGUCUGCAUGGAGCCGACCUUGAAAUACCACCCUUUAAUGUUUGAUGUUCUAACGUGGACCCGUAAUCCGGGUUGCGGACAGUGUCUGGUGGGUAGUUUGACUGGGGCGGUCUCCUCCUAAAGAGUAACGGAGGAGCACGAAGGUUGGCUAAUCCUGGUCGGACAUCAGGAGGUUAGUGCAAUGGCAUAAGCCAGCUUGACUGCGAGCGUGACGGCGCGAGCAGGUGCGAAAGCAGGUCAUAGUGAUCCGGUGGUUCUGAAUGGAAGGGCCAUCGCUCAACGGAUAAAAGGUACUCCGGGGAUAACAGGCUGAUACCGCCCAAGAGUUCAUAUCGACGGCGGUGUUUGGCACCUCGAUGUCGGCUCAUCACAUCCUGGGGCUGAAGUAGGUCCCAAGGGUAUGGCUGUUCGCCAUUUAAAGUGGUACGCGAGCUGGGUUUAGAACGUCGUGAGACAGUUCGGUCCCUAUCUGCCGUGGGCGCUGGAGAACUGAGGGGGGCUGCUCCUAGUACGAGAGGACCGGAGUGGACGCAUCACUGGUGUUCGGGUUGUCAUGCCAAUGGCACUGCCCGGUAGCUAAAUGCGGAAGAGAUAAGUGCUGAAAGCAUCUAAGCACGAAACUUGCCCCGAGAUGA